RNAcentral lists this ribosomal RNA (407 nucleotides) under uncultured bacterium. RNAcentral's name for it is "partial 16S ribosomal RNA". It matches the Rfam family "Bacterial small subunit ribosomal RNA", at positions 30 to 526 of the family's 1533-position model. The record is from RNAcentral.
AUUGAACGCUGGCGGCAGGCCUAACACAUGCAAGUCGAGCGGAGCGGCGGACGGGUGAGUAAUGUCUGGGAGACUGCCUGAUGGAGGGGGAUAAAUCCUGGAAACGGGAGCUAAUACCGCAUACUCUCAGAUGAGCCUAGGUCGGAUUAGCUAGUUGGGGGGGGAAAGGCCUACCAAGGCGACGAUCCGUAACUGGUCUGAGAGGAUGAUCAGUCACACUGGAACUGAGACACGGUCCAGACUCCUACGUGAGGCAGCAGUGGGGAAUAUUGGACAAUGGGCGAAAGCCUGAUGCAGCCAUGCCGCGUGUGUGAAGAAGGUCUUCGGAUUGUAAAGCACUUUAAGUUGGGAGGCGUUACCAACAGAAUAAGCACCGGCUAACUUCGUGCCAGCAGCCGCGGUAAUAC